This 236-nucleotide ribosomal RNA is filed under the name uncultured bacterium. Its description in RNAcentral is "partial 16S ribosomal RNA". It matches the Rfam family "Bacterial small subunit ribosomal RNA", at positions 96 to 334 of the family's 1533-position model. The record is from RNAcentral.
CGGCGGACGGGUGAGUAACGCGUGGGUAACCUGCCUCAUACAGGGGAUAACAGUUAGAAAUGACUGCUAAUACCGCAUAAGACCACAGCACCGCAUGGUGCGGGGUAAAAACUCCGGUGGUAUGAGAUGGACCCGCGUCUGAUUAGCUAGUUGGUAAGGUAACGGCUUACCAAGGCGACGAUCAGUAGCCGACCUGAGAGGGUGACCGGCCACAUUGGGACUGAGACACGGCCCAA